This is a long non-coding RNA of Mytilus californianus (California mussel), 1046 nucleotides long. RefSeq lists it as uncharacterized. The record is from RefSeq and is a predicted model, not a curated record. NCBI's taxonomy places the organism in Eukaryota, Metazoa, Mollusca, Bivalvia, Mytilida, Mytilidae. The transcript is spliced from 3 exons.
CGCGACAUUAACUUUUUAAUUAUAUUGAUAUAAACAGGUGCAUUGCUAUAAAAUGUUCAUUAUUAUUCAGUAAACGCUGAGACAAAUCACCGCGGAGAGCAGUUCUGAUCAUGUGUACAUGGAUUUUCUUCUAUAUAGCGAAUCACCAGUAUAUGUAAUAACUUUUAUAUCCACACCGGGACUAAGUUUUUAAAGCGCGCACCUCCGUCGAACUAGUAGGCGAUAUGACAUUAACCACUGAGACUUAAACUUUAUAGGGAAACAUAAGAACGUGAACUUCCAAGGAAACCGGAACGUAAAGUUUAUUAAGCAUUAGAAGUGAAGUAAACUUAAAAACAUUAGAAGUGAAGUAAACUACCAAGGAGACUUAAACGCACAGUUUUAGAAAGCAUUAGAAGUGAAGUAAACUCAUAGCGGGCGCCUGUUUGUAACUUUAACUUGUCAGGUAAUCUAAACUGCUGACCCUGUAAUAAGUCACGUCGUAUGAUACCAAUGAAAUAAAAGAAAUAUUACUGAAAACGGCAAAAGCUUAUCUAACAAAGGAUUGAGAGACGAAAGUACGAUUAAGGGGAAAGAAGAAACAACAAUAUAUAUAUAUUAUGAUGGCAAGCAAGAGAGCCUUAUACAUAUCCAAGACAUUGUUUCUAGUUUUAGUUUUAUUGACGAACUAUAGCAGUGGUUAUUUUAUUAGACAGUCUUUUGUUACAGAUAUAGAACCGUCAGAACGACAAAACACAGAACUUCAACGCAAAACUCUAAUAGAAAUUUUACAGAAUUUACAAGAAUUUAGUUUUCAAGAAGAAAAGCGAAAAAUAGAUACAAAAUCUUCAUUUCAAGUAAAAACAGAUAGAAGACAGAUGGAUUCAGUGGGAUCAGUGAACAAAAGAGAUUACGGAAUAAUGCCACCAUGGAAUGAGAUGUGCCGCAUGAUGAGGGUGGCAUUCUGCGUCCGACACAGAAAAUAACAUUAUUUCUACGGUCCGACACAGAAAAUAACAUUAUUUCUACGCUGAUCUAUACUGUUAUUAAAAUCAACAUAUUUUCAA